GUCUCUCGGAACUCUCACUCAGCUGCCAUGGUGUAAGAGUUGAAGCUACCUGAAGAAGCCACAUGAGGUGCUAUGUUUGAUGACCUCAGCUGACCUGACAUCCUCCUGAGUUGGCUUUAACUGACAACUGGUAUCUACUGCUACUCCUGCGAAUGCGUCAUCUUUGUCCAGCCUAUUCUGUCUAAAGAUACAGUGAUAAAAAUUAUUCAAUCUAUGGUGAACAAGGUAAAAAAACAGACUGAGGAAAAAUGAUUACACUCUCAAGAAAGGGUGGAAAACUAUCAAAUGGUCUAACAUGUAAUAAGAAUUUUAAGAGAAUAAAAAAUAAUGUAAGCGAGCCAGAAAAAUAUUUAAACAGGUGACUAAAGCUUCCCCAAUUUGAUUUUUAAAACAAAGUUCUGACUAACAGAUUGAAGUAGCCCAAUAAACUCUAAGCAGGAUAAAAAUAAAAAGAACCACACUCGGGAUAUUCAUCCUAAAAUUGCACCAAAAUAAAGUCUUAAAAUCACCUAGAGGUGAGGUGGAGACCAACACCAUGUAAGGGAGAAUAGGUUAGAAAGAUUACUAACUUCUUAUCACAAAUGAUGGAGGCCAGAAUUUAAUGGAAUGACACAUUCAGUGUGCUGAAAGAAUUUUUAUAUCUGGCAAAAAUUUCUUCAGAUAUGAAGGUGAAAUAGGGAUAUUUCACAAAAUCCUAAACAACUGAGAAAAUGUGUUGCAGUAGACUUUUACUAGAAGUAGUGCUAAAAGAUAACCUUCAGUCUGAAAGAAAAUGAUUCCAGAUGGAAAUAGAAUCUAUGAGAAGGAAUGGAGAAAGCCAGAAAUGAUAAGAGCCUCGUGUGAAACUCAGAAGACUCACGGGCUACCCUCCGAGCAUGAAUUUUCCUUCCUGGAUCUAAAGUGACAUCACAACUUACACCCUAAAGAAUGAGGUGCAGCUGCUAACAGGAGUGGAGGCUAAUUUCAACUUGCCUGUUCUGGUUUAAGCCUGUCAGAAAACAGACACAACAUUCAUCCUUUAAGAAUGAGCUUGAGAAUUCCUGGAGCAUAGGAAGAAAUCGGCCAUCUUUCUGCACUGCCCACCAUCCCUGCCGUAGCGCUGGACACACCGUGACCCUGCAUAAACCAGCGAGUUUAAAGCAAUCAAAGGCACAUAAGAAGUACAGAUUCAUGCAAGAAUUCAAAGCCAUCUACACAGAAAACCUG
Heterocephalus glaber (naked mole-rat) is the source of this 1206-nucleotide long non-coding RNA. Lineage: Eukaryota; Metazoa; Chordata; Mammalia; Rodentia; Bathyergidae. The record is from Ensembl.